Molecule: non-coding RNA, 129 nt
Filed under: Pyronema omphalodes
Lineage: Eukaryota; Fungi; Ascomycota; Pezizomycetes; Pezizales; Pyronemataceae
Description: TPP sequence
Rfam family: TPP riboswitch aptamer (THI element)
About the family: Vitamin B(1) in its active form thiamin pyrophosphate (TPP) is an essential coenzyme that is synthesised by coupling of pyrimidine and thiazole moieties in bacteria. The previously detected thiamin-regulatory element, thi box was extended, resulting in a new, highly conserved RNA secondary structure, the THI element, which is widely distributed in eubacteria and also occurs in some archaea. Analysis of operon structures identified a large number of new candidate thiamin-regulated genes, mostly transporters, in various prokaryotic organisms.
Source: RNAcentral
ACAAAGCAUCCCGGGUGUUCGAGUUCCAAUUCUCUUCGUCAAAGAAGAGAAGAAGGCUCGUUCUGAGAUUAUACCGGUUGAACUUGAUCUAGAUAAUUCUAGCGCAAAGGAAGAUGCUUUUUUUGGGCU